RNAcentral lists this ribosomal RNA (406 nucleotides) under uncultured bacterium. RNAcentral describes it as "partial 16S ribosomal RNA". It matches the Rfam family "Bacterial small subunit ribosomal RNA", at positions 30 to 526 of the family's 1533-position model. The record is from RNAcentral.
AUUGAACGCUGGCGGCGUGCUUUACACAUGCAAGUCGGACGAGUGGCGAACGGGUGAGUAACGCAUCGGAACCUACCGAGUAAUGGGGGAUAACUGUCAGAAAGGACAGCUAAUACCGCAUACUAUUCUAUCUGCCUAUGUCGGAUUAGCUGGUUGGGGGGGUAAAGGCCCACCUAGGCGACGAUCCGUAGCGGGUCUGAGAGGAUGAUCAGCCACACUGGGACUGAGACACGGUCCAGACUCCUACGGGAGGCAGCAGUGGGGAAUUUUGGACAAUGGGCGCAAGCCUGAUGCAGCCAUGCCGCGGGUAUGAAGAAGGCCUUCGGGUUGUAAAGGACUUUUAGCAGGGAAGCGGUACCUGAAGAAUAAGCACCGGCUAACUACGUGCCAGCCGCCGCGGUAAUAC